Molecule: ribosomal RNA, 492 nt
Filed under: uncultured bacterium
Lineage: Bacteria
Description: partial 16S ribosomal RNA
Rfam family: Bacterial small subunit ribosomal RNA
Source: RNAcentral
AGUGAACGCUGGCGGUAGGCCUAACACAUGCAAGUCGAACGACAGCACAGUAAGAGCUUGCUCUUACGGGUGGCGAGUGGCGGACGGGUGAGGAAUACAUCGGCAUCUACUUUUUCGUGGGGGAUAACGUAGGGAAACUUACGCUAAUACCGCAUACGACCUACGGGUGAAAGCAGGGGAUCUUCGGACCUUGCGCGAUUGAAUGAGCCGAUGUCGGAUUAGCUAGUUGGCGGGGUAAAGGCCCACCAAGGCGACGAUCCGUAGCUGGACUGAGCGGAUUAUCAGCCACACUGGAACUGAGACACGGUCCAGACUCCUACGGGAGGCAGCAGUGGGGAAUAUUGGACAAUGGGCGCAAGCCUGAUGCAGCCAUACCGCGUGGGUGAAGAAGGCCUUCGGGUUGUAAAGCCCUUUUGUUGGGAAAGAAAAGCAGCAGGUUAAUACCCCGAUGUUCUGACGGUACCCAAAGAAUAAGCACCGGCUAACUUCGUG